GUUUGAUGAAAUGGAUCAAAAAUAUUUGAUAUCAGUUCACAUAUGUCAAAUUUAAGAACUGGGAUAUCAUUAAAUGAAAUUGAUGUAAUUUGUCACUGGGCUAAUGACAUUCAGGGGACAGUACAUUACUAACUGGUUUACUUAUUACAAUAUGUCAUUGUAACCUGAAAAAUCAUGAUUUGCAAUGUAUGAUAAUGUAGAUUAAAAAUAUUUCAUAAGUUCACAUAUGGCAAAUUUAAGAAGUGAAAUAUGAUGAAAGGAAGUUGAUGUUAUUAAAUGGUCACUGCAGGCUAAUGACAUUUGGGUUGGGGGUGGGGGGGACAGUACAUCUCAGUGUUACUAAUUGACAUAAUUAAGACGAUGAUUUUACAAUAUGUCACUGUAGGGGGAUAUAACAGUUUCUAGGUACAAAAUCACAUGAUAACCAAACAUUUGAGAAAUAUGGAAGUGGAUCGCUAUCGUUGAAGUUUUAUCCUCAUUAUUUUAGUCCCACAUUUUGACCUUAAAGACAGGCUACAAAUGAAAUUAAGUGACGGGUGAUACAAUUCUGGUACCAAUAUAGUAACUUAUAAUCAUUUUGUUAUUUG
This 587-nucleotide long non-coding RNA is filed under the name Mytilus galloprovincialis (Mediterranean mussel). Lineage: Eukaryota; Metazoa; Mollusca; Bivalvia; Mytilida; Mytilidae. The record is from RNAcentral.